CUGGAGGAAGGUGGGGAUGACGUCAAGUCAUCAUGGCCCUUACGACCAGGGCUACACACGUGCUACAAUGGCAUAUACAAAGAGAAGCGACCUCGCGAGAGCAAGCGGACCUCAUAAAGUAUGUCGUAGUCCGGAUUGGAGUCUGCAACUCGACUCCAUGAAGUCGGAAUCGCUAGUAAUCGUAGAUCAGAAUGCUACGGUGAAUACGUUCCCGGGCCUUGUACACACCGCCCGUCACACCAUGGGAGUGGGUUGCAAAAGAAGUAGGUAGCUUAACCUUCGGGAGGGCGCUUACCACUUUGUGAUUCAUGACUGGGGUGAAGUCGUAACAAGGUAACCGUAGGGGAACCUGCGGUUGGAUCACCUCCUU
Molecule: ribosomal RNA, 370 nt
Filed under: Klebsiella pneumoniae
Lineage: Bacteria; Pseudomonadati; Pseudomonadota; Gammaproteobacteria; Enterobacterales; Enterobacteriaceae
Also listed under: 1 other name
Description: bacterial SSU rRNA
Rfam family: Bacterial small subunit ribosomal RNA
Source: RNAcentral